Long non-coding RNA from Cynara cardunculus var. scolymus (artichoke), 2353 nucleotides. RefSeq lists it as uncharacterized. NCBI's taxonomy places the organism in Eukaryota, Viridiplantae, Streptophyta, Magnoliopsida, Asterales, Asteraceae. The record is from RefSeq and is a predicted model, not a curated record. The transcript has 3 exons.
CCCCCAUACCUUCCUUCAAAAUCAAAAUCAAAAUCCAUAAAUCCAUGCGGGUUUGUGAUUCAUUUCUUUGAUUUCAUACCCAUCAUCACAAAUCUCAUAACCAUACACUUGGGGGGUUGUAGAUUCAAGAAACCAUGAAUGCAAAUGUUUGGAAGAGAAGAUCUAAAGACAUCUCGGCCAAUGAUGAUGAUGAUUCAAAACACAGACACAAAUCCCAUCUUCUUGGUUCGAACAAGAAGAGAAACAAGAACAAGAACAAGAACAAGAACAGGAGGAUUGUGGAUCAGAAGACCCCAACAGAGUACCCAUUAUUGAGAUUUGAAGAAUUACCAGAAUACAUGAAGGAUAACGAGUUUAUUUUGAAUUAUUACAGAGCUGAUUGACCUUUGAAACAAGCCCUUUUUAGCCUAUUUCGUUGGCACAAUGAAACCCUAAAUGUAUGGACGUUCAAUCGUUCUGCUCUGCCAACGAAUCUUGGAGGCUCGUUGAUUCCAUUUUGCAAUGAUGUUCCGACUAUUGCAGUCCUGAAAGGACUCCUUUGAGCACGUAGAAGUAAGUACCGUUUGUUAUGAACUGGACCGAUUAAACAAUGGAAGUAAUAUCCAGGAGAUAAGAACAAGUGGCUGAUGAUUCAAUUAACAACAAAAAGGAACAGUUUCUCCUAAACAGAACUCUGGAUAAUUUUCUGGAUGAUCCUUCACUCUCACUAACUCCCUAUUUAUUCACAGCCGUAACAGAUUACUCCUACUAUUGGGCCAGUGCAUAACACAUUUCUUGAUGCUUAUGAAUAAAUUUUGCUUGAUCAAAUCACAAAAUACUGUUUCUAGGAGUUGUCGAUUGAAUGCAGUCGUGGUUUUGUUGCCAUAAAAUGAACUGAACCCAUCCAAUUUUCUAAGGAAUGUGGUUUAUCAGGUUUUUUCACUGGUUUCUUAAUUUAUGCUACUUGUUAAAUUUACCUCAAAAGAAAUAGAUUAAUGUCAUUAUGUAAGAUGUGCUUAUGGUAUUAUGUUAUGUCACAAUUCUGCAGGAUCAUAGCCAAAUGUUGAGAUAACUCUUGGGUAUUUCAACUUGUUCUGAUGAAUCAUUUGGAUAUUAAAAGAUUUCUACUACAAUGCCAAUAUUCGAGCGAUUGGCUCUCUCCAGGUAUGUUCACAAACUAACUGAUGACUUCAACUACCAUAACCUCCCCUGGUUAUGCUUCUCCUCCACCGACUUAACCAUCUACUCCGACAUGUAACCACUUGUGAAUCAAAAAGACCAUUCUGCCCUCCCUACUUCUUGAGUUCGUAAAACAUAUAUGUGGCUUACUAUUACCUUCCCGCCAUACAUCCACCUUGUCUCCAACUCCAUAUGUUUAUUCAACUAUGUUGGAAUAAACUUGUAUGAAUGACACGACCCAAUAGCUCUCCGUAAUUGAGAAACAUGAAACACCUAAUGGAUCUUAGUUUUUGGCUUUUUGCUGCCACCACUACUCCCUCUGUGCACAAGACUUGAAAUGGUUUAUGCUUGAAAUGGUCCAUAAACCGGGCUGCUAGCUUCACUCCUUUUUCCCUCAAGGAAUUUUGUCUAUACGGUCACAAGUUAAAGAACACCAACGAUCCACUAUAAAUUGGACAUCUUUCUGAUGCUUAUCCGCUUGUUGGUUCACUCAGUUAAAGAACACCAAUGAUCCGCCUGUUGCUUUAUUUUCCGUCGUUUAAUCAAACAUUAUACUCUUGCUCAAUGUUAUUAGCAUGUAGCAUACCACUCAAAUAUAUGAUGUCUUAUUGGUUUCAUUAGUUUUGUUAACUUAUACCGUUGCUAUUUCACAAUUGUUCGUGAGACUUGUAUGCUAGAUGCAGUAAGAGGCUUCAUUUAAAAGUCUAUUUUUUGGCUUGUUUGUCAUACAUGUUUGUUUACAAUCGCAUUUUCACAAUUGUCGUUUUCUUCUAAUGGUAGUAUCAUUUAGUUUUGUGGUGUCUUGUCGAUUUUUUUUGUUUAUUGUAAAGUAAGCUAGCACUUUGUAGGUUGUUUUUCUGUGAUUUCACUUUGUUUACCAUCCUAUAUACUCCUGCCUUGUCCAUCGAGGGGCUUUACGUGGCUAAAGGUGACCGAGUUCAUGGGUGUUGGGUUAUUCCGAGUCCAAGGUCUUGGAUUUAGCUUUUGACUUCCAUUUAUCCAUUGAUUGUGGUUUUUUUUAGAAUGGUUUUGAGAUUCAAUUAUCCAUGGAUUGUUUGGUCUUUCUGAGUUCAAGGUCAUGGRUUUACCUUUCUACUUCCAUUUAGUUUUGUUGUGUGUUUCCCAUUUUUGUUGUUUGUCGUAAAGUAAAUUAGGAGGUGAGGGGUUCAAACCUCACCAAAGGUGAGGAGGGUGU